RNAcentral lists this long non-coding RNA (840 nucleotides) under Parus major (Great Tit). RNAcentral's name for it is "lncRNA (ENSPMJG00000005994.1)". Lineage: Eukaryota; Metazoa; Chordata; Aves; Passeriformes; Paridae. The record is from RNAcentral.
GCAGGUACUGCAGGAUGAGCAGUAGGGAAAUGAGAGUGGGUGUGAGGAAACUAAUGCCAUACAAUCCUUGAAAUUUCCCAGUGCUUUAUGAAAUUCAAAGCAAUAUAAAUAUUAAAAUAGCAUUAGUCCCACUUAUAGGGAAUAAAUAGUGGUACAUUUCAAUAUAAUAUUUUCCCGUCAUGUCAUUUGCUGUGGAAUAUGUUGCUAAUUAAAGAUUACAAGAGAGAGCUCCCUUGAGGUAUGCAUGGGUUUGCUCUCUGUUUAAAAAAGAUUUGCUUUGAAUGUCCAUUGACCUUUCCACAUUUAAAUGUCUUCUGAAUUUUCCUGUGCUUGCUGGGGCCAUGACUAGGUGAUUUUCAGUCUCAUGUUCUGGUACAUAAGUAUUGUAGUUUUGAGCUUUGAUGGUCCUAUAAUCCUUUAAUUGUUUAUAGGGAGAACCAGUUGUCUCUUUCAAGCAACUGUGCCUUAUGCAAGAGAAACAGAACCACAACAGCUGAGUUGUUCACAAAGACAAGGUCACAAUUUCAAGGAUAUCAAGAAUAGGAUAGAGAGGGGCACUGCUGCAUGGCUUAAGUCCACCAUCUGCCUGAUGGAUCUGAGCACCAUGACAAACUGCUAUCCUUCCUGAUUAGGAUGUGCAAACAGAGAGCAGACAGAUUUUGCCAAGCUGGGAAAAAUGAGGUUGAUUUUCUGCUCCAGCCUCACCUAUGCUCAAGAUCCAAGAACAAAGGCACAGAACUUUUCAUUGAUACACCUCAACUCAACCUGGACAUUUUUAAGGAAGACAAAAGUGAAACAUCAGUCUGCACUGUCUUAAACCAAUGGGAAAAGGGUGUAUGA